Molecule: long non-coding RNA, 2827 nt
Organism: Dromaius novaehollandiae (emu)
Lineage: Eukaryota; Metazoa; Chordata; Aves; Casuariiformes; Dromaiidae
Exons: 7
Source: RefSeq, a predicted model, not a curated record
AUCUUUGUUCACCUAACAUGCAGUCCUGCCUCCAAUACCUGAGCAGUUUGGGUGCUUUUGUAUACAUCAGUGCAUCACAUCCACAGAGUCUUACCCUUAGUGGAGAGCAGGUACAAGCCACUGCCGGGAGCAGGACGUCAGACUUGCCGUACCAAUGAGCCACUGUGGUGAGUCUGGAUUCCUGUGCUAGCUGCCUCUGGGGAUCAUGGAAAACUGACAGCAAGUUCAUCUGGUAGCACAAGCCACAGAAAUGUGCUCCUAGGACAACACAGCCGUCAGCUACAAUGAUCUCAAAGUGCUCUGAGCAAGGUGGAUUCCUUACUGACGUGGAGAAGACCGAGGUUAAGUGAUUUGCCCCAGUUCUGCGCACACUCCAAUCCAGUUGGAAUUUCCAUGUGCUUUUGCCCUAAAAAUUAGUGUUAAUCCUGCUGGCCAAGGGUCACCGCUAGGAACCCAAGGGAGGUGCUCAGCCCUUCAACAGCACCAGCCCAGCCUUUCAGACUCUAUGCAUUAAUACAAUGAAGAGUAGAAAUUCGAUUGUCCUGUAAUUCAGGUUUCUCUGGCUUCUGUUCCAAACUAUAAGGCCUGUACUUCACAUGCUGUCUAAGACUGGAUUUUGUACUACAACGGAACAGAGACUGGCUAUCUUCCUUUUCUAUGAUUUUUUUUUUAAAUUGGCAUUUAUUUUUGUGAAGAUUAAUCAAGAUCAAUCAAAUCAAGGGCAAAGGACAGAAAAACAGGGUAAUAAGGUCUUCAGUCUCUGAUGAAGUGGCUGAGCUCUUUCAGACUGGUGAUCAGUUUCAAGAAGCCAGAAUCUCCUCCAGCUCAUGAGCCUGCUCCUGCCUUUCCAUGAGGUCACUAAGCCGGAUGUGAGCAUAAGUGCAUCUGACCCUAAAACUAGCUCCCUGUGAACUUGACCUUGCUAAAUGUUGCUCUUCUGACUCUACAGUAUGUAACACAUAUAUCUUCUGUAUCUUCUGUAGACAUAAAUAACUAUAUCAACUGCAGUAUCAAAGCAUGAUUACAGGAGACGUUUUCCAUUAAUAGCCUGAAAGGAACCAAGAAAAAUAUUCUCUCUCUGAAAAUGGAAUUGGAAAACACAUAUUUUAUGCAGAUUUUAACUCUGAGGCAUAUAACCGAUGUUAACAAUCAGAGAAGGUUGUUCUGCUCUAGCCAGGCAACUCGAUGUACUUCAGGAAAAAAAAAAAACAAAAAAAACCCAAAAAACACUCUGUUCUCUGAAAUUUAUACCCUUCAAUUAGGAGGCGCAUAAACCAGAGAUAGAAAAAAACGCUACUCAGGGUUAUCUUGUCCCCAUACCCACUCACCCACCAACAGCAUGCAAAAAUCUUGCAGAAGUCAAGGUAAAAGAAAGAAUGAAAAGGCCCAAAAGAAUAAUAAGUAUAAAUAAUACUUAAAUCUAAAUCAGAUGUGAUUGAACACAAAACAUGAAGAGAUCUACUGGUUAUCUUAAAAUUUAAAAUGUAUAGAAUAUCUGGUCCGAGAACAGUAUAUGCCGAAUUAUCAGAACACAUUCGUUAGUCAUACAGAGAGUAGUGCAUCUACGUUCAUUGUAUAUACAAAUGAGUGUUUAUGCACAUGAUCUAAAAAGCCAGCCAGCCAGCAGCUUUAAUUUGAAGCGGAUAAAAGGCAUAAAAUUAGCUUCUUACCUUUUAACUUUUUCUUUGACUUCACUUGUAAAAAGUGGAUCAACCUUGAAAGAAAUAUAUACACACAUGCAUAUGGCACUACAGCAUACAUUUGAAAUACCCAGAAGAGAAAAACAAAUAUGCAUCAAUUUUAGCACAUUUUUGCUAAAAUUUAAAUGCAUGAGUAAGGUGAGCUUUAAAAUUACACCAGAGAGAGGUAAUUCGGUAGAGUAACUUUUGAUUCUUAGGACGAGUGCUCUUGUGAGUGACUGACACUUGGAAGUGACGUCUCGCUAGGGAUGUUAGUGCUCAGGAUAGCACAUGUGAAUUGACCACUCCACUCGUAAAGUUUUACGUGGCUACUCUUAAUUCAGGGUAGCUUUGGGCUAACCUCAAAAGGGAGGUUUCAUUUCUUGUCCUCUGACAUCGCUCUGGCUGCAGGUUCUAAUUAGCUGCAGAUCUACUUAAAAUGAAUGAAGGAUCAGUUUCCGAUUGCUCUGCUAAUGCAGCCAUGAUUCCAAUAACUGAUCUGACAACUUACUAAGUGAGGAACAAUGCACUGAUGUGGCAAGUAAUUGUCCCUUUAUGUACGGGGUAACCAGCAUGAGGAAGGAAAGGGACUUUUCAGGCUUUAGUUAACACAGGAAGCAAUCUGCAUGUAAACUGAGACAGUCAAAAAGAUUUUAUGCACAUAAUGCAAUUUGCUUGAAAAUUAAUAAACACAAACUUACACAAAAUAAGCUAGAAUUAUUAAAAAAUUGUUUAAGAUGCGCAAUUCACUCUAGCAAGUUUAUUUACAAAGCUUAACUAAGUCUAUUAUUCUCAUUUAACACAUUUUAAAAAAAUAAACAGAAUUUGGAAAUCAACUAGACAUGAAGAACAGCACUGGACUUGUUUUUAUUACGGCAGACUGAAUAUAUUAGAUUAAUUUAUGACAGGCUGCACAGCACACAGCAAUUGAAAGCACUGGGGACAGCAUGGUUUAUUUUUUUAAUGCAUGCUAAUGUGUUAUUUCUUUGUUACAAAAUACAAGACAGAAAACAGUAACAAAACAAUUUAGAAAACUUUCCGAAAAAAAGUCAGAAGUGAUUUUAUAGCUAUGAUUGUGUACUUUGAACAGAAGAAUAAUUAUGUUAUGAAACCUAGGGCUUCAUAAAUCAAAAGAUUCAAGCAAUUCA